This 96-nucleotide small RNA is filed under the name Flavobacterium sp. 1. Its description in RNAcentral is "Flavo-1 RNA". It matches the Rfam family "Flavo-1 RNA". Lineage: Bacteria; Pseudomonadati; Bacteroidota; Flavobacteriia; Flavobacteriales; Flavobacteriaceae. The record is from RNAcentral.
CCCUAGCCCAGAUUGCUUCGCUCGUGUGCAGUGAAAAUCCUUUUUGUGAAAAAUCUAUUUUUUACAAAAAGAUUGAAACGAAUAGCUGGAAAUAGC